Eubalaena glacialis (North Atlantic right whale) is the source of this 269-nucleotide long non-coding RNA. RefSeq lists it as uncharacterized. The transcript is spliced from 3 exons. The record is from RefSeq and is a predicted model, not a curated record. Lineage: Eukaryota; Metazoa; Chordata; Mammalia; Artiodactyla; Balaenidae.
AGGCAGUCGGGAAGACACUGAUUCUUACCCUGGCUCUGCCUGUAACAUACAGUGUACUCAUGGCAAGGUACUUGGACAAUUUCUCAGAUUCCAAAAGAAGAGCAGAUUGCUACCCAUAAAACUAAGCAGCAUCAACGUGAAAUUACUGGAAGAAUCCGAAAGUCUUUGCAGAAAUGUGACUGGCACUGGCCAAACUCAGUUUGCCAUACCAGAAGAUUUGCAGUGGUGGCAUUAAAUCACACACAUGCCAUGAAAAGCAGAGGAGAGUA